RNAcentral lists this ribosomal RNA (767 nucleotides) under Panstrongylus geniculatus. RNAcentral describes it as "SSU rRNA". It matches the Rfam family "Eukaryotic small subunit ribosomal RNA", at positions 473 to 1153 of the family's 1831-position model. Lineage: Eukaryota; Metazoa; Arthropoda; Insecta; Hemiptera; Reduviidae. The record is from RNAcentral.
AAAAAUAACGAUACGGGACUCUAUUGAGGCCCCGUAAUCGGAAUGAGUACACUUUAAAUCCUUUAACAAGGAUCCAUUGGAGGGCAAGUCUGGUGCCAGCAGCCGCGGUAAUUCCAGCUCCAAUAGCGUAUAUUAAAGUUGUUGCGGUUAAAAAGCUCGUAGUUGGUUCUGCGUGCCGCGCUGUCGGUUCGCCGCCUGUCGGUGUAACUGGCAUGUCGCGGCAUGUCCUGUCGGUGGUGAACGGAGUCCACAAUGCUACAUAGGCUUUAUAGCCGAUGUUAGCGUCGUGUGUACUUCCGUUGGCCGAUCUCUCCUACUUCGGUGCUCUUAAACGAGUGUCGAGGUAGGCCGACACGUUCACUUUGAACAAAUUAGAGUGCUUAAAGCAGGCUGAAAUAUCUGCCUGAAUAGUGGUGCAUGGAAUGAUAAAACAGGACCUCGGUUCUAUUUUGUUGGUUUUAGGAAUAUGAGGUAAUGAUCAAUGUGGACUGGCGGGGGCAUUCGUAUUGCGACGUUAGAGGUGAAAUUCUUGGAUCGUCGCAAGACGCACUAGAGCGAAAGCAUUUGCCAAGUAUGUCUUAAUUGAUCAAGAACGAAAGUUAGAGGUUCGAAGGCGAUCAGAUACCGCCCUAGUUCUAACCAUAAACGAUGCCAGCCAGCGAUCCGCCGAUGUUCCUUUAAUGACUCGGCGGGGAGCUUCCACCCGGGAAACCAAAGCUUUUGGGUUCCGGGGGAAGUAUGGUUGCAAAGCUGAAACUUAAAGGAAU